CUGGUCAUGUGAUGAAUGAACUAAAUCACCAUCUUUCGGCUGAUUUUAUGAUGUAUAUGUUCUCUUCUGACCCAG
Bombina bombina (fire-bellied toad) is the source of this 75-nucleotide small nucleolar RNA. The record is from RefSeq and is a predicted model, not a curated record. Lineage: Eukaryota; Metazoa; Chordata; Amphibia; Anura; Bombinatoridae.